RNAcentral lists this ribosomal RNA (93 nucleotides) under Triticum aestivum (bread wheat). RNAcentral's name for it is "partial small subunit ribosomal RNA". Lineage: Eukaryota; Viridiplantae; Streptophyta; Magnoliopsida; Poales; Poaceae. The record is from RNAcentral.
AUGAACCUAUUUGAAGUGGCCCAUUUCGUACCAGAAAAGCCCAUGUAUGAACAAGGGUUGAUUUUACUUCCACACUUAGCUACUCUAGGUUAG